UACGUAGGGUGCAAGCGUUAAUCGGAAUUACUGGGCGUAAAGCGUGUGCAGGCGGUUAUGCAAGACAGAUGUGAAAUCCCCGGGCUCAACCUGGGAACUGCAUUUGUGACUGCAUGGCUAGAGUACGGUAGAGGGGGAUGGAAUUCCGCGUGUAGCAGUGAAAUGCGUAGAUAUGCGGAGGAACACCGAUGGCGAAGGCAAUCCCCUGGACCUGUACUGACGCUCAUGCACGAAAGCGUGGGGAGCAAACAGG
RNAcentral lists this ribosomal RNA (253 nucleotides) under uncultured bacterium. RNAcentral describes it as "partial 16S ribosomal RNA". It matches the Rfam family "Bacterial small subunit ribosomal RNA", at positions 524 to 776 of the family's 1533-position model. The record is from RNAcentral.